GACGAACGCUGGCGGCGUGCCUAAUACAUGCAAGUAGAACGCUGAAGGAGGAGCUUGCUUCUCUGGAUGAGUUGCGAGCGGGUGAGUAACGCGUAGGUAACCUGCCUGGUAGCGGGGGAUAACUAUUGGAAACGAUAGCUAAUACCGCAUAAUAGUAGAUGUUGCAUGACAUUUGCUUAAAAGGUGCAAUUGCAUCACUACCAGAUGGACCUGCGUUGUAUUAGCUAGUUGGUGGGGUAACGGCUCACCAAGGCGACGAUACAUAGCCGACCUGAGAGGGUGAUCGGCCACACUGGGACUGAGACACGGCCCAGACUCCUACGGGAGGCAGCAGUAGGGAAUCUUCGGCAAUGGACGGAAGUCUGACCGAGCAACGCCGCGUGAGUGAAGAAGGUUUUCGGAUCGUAAAGCUCUGUUGUAAGAGAAGAACGAGUGUGAGAGUGGAAAGUUCACACUGUGACGGUAUCUUACCAGAAAGGGACGGCUAACUACGUG
RNAcentral lists this ribosomal RNA (495 nucleotides) under uncultured bacterium. RNAcentral describes it as "partial 16S ribosomal RNA". It matches the Rfam family "Bacterial small subunit ribosomal RNA", at positions 28 to 507 of the family's 1533-position model. The record is from RNAcentral.